CCUACGGGAGACAGCAGUGAGGAAUAUUGGUCAAUGGACGAAAGUCUGAACCAGCCAAGUAGCGUGAAGGAUGACUGCCCUAUGGGUUGUAAACUUCUUUUAUAUGGGAAUAAAAUGUUCCACGUGUGGGAUUUUGUAUGUACCAUAUGAAUAAGGAUCGGCUAACUCCGUGCCAGCAGCCGCGGUAAUACGGAGGAUCCGAGCGUUAUCCGGAUUUAUUGGGUUUAAAGGGAGCGUAGGUGGAUUGUUAAGUCAGUUGUGAAAGUUUGCGGCUCAACCGUGAAAUUGCAGUUGAAACUGGCAGGCUUGAGUAUAGUAGAGGUGGGCGGAAUUCGUGGUGUAGCGGUGAAAUGCUUAGAGAUCACGAAGAACACCGAUUGCGAAGGCAGCUCACUGGACUGCAACUGACAUUGAGGCUCGAAAGUGUGGGUAUCAAACAGGAUUAGAUACCCGAGUAGUC
RNAcentral lists this ribosomal RNA (460 nucleotides) under uncultured bacterium. RNAcentral's name for it is "partial 16S ribosomal RNA". It matches the Rfam family "Bacterial small subunit ribosomal RNA", at positions 338 to 795 of the family's 1533-position model. The record is from RNAcentral.